GACGAACGCUGGCGGCGUGCCUAACACAUGCAAGUCGAGCGGAGUCGAUCGACGGAAGCCUUCGGGCGGAAGAUGGUUGACUUAGCGGCGGAUGGGUGAGUAACGCGUGGGCAACCUGCCUCGAAGACCGGGAUAACAGCCCGAAAGGGCUGCUAAUACCGGAUGUGGUCAAGGAUCCGCAUGGAUUUUUGAUUAAAGGGGAAACCCGUUUCGAGAUGGGCCCGCGUCCUAUCAGCUAGUUGGUGAGGUAAAAGCUCACCAAGGCGACGACGGGUAGCCGGCCUGAGAGGGUGACCGGCCACACUGGAACUGAGACACGGUCCAGACUCCUACGGGGGGCAGCAGUGGGGAAUCUUCCACAAUGGGCGAAAGCCUGAUGGAGCGACGCCGCGUGAGCGAAGAAGGCCUUGGGUUGUAAAGCUCUGUCUGGAGGGACGAAGGAAGUGACGGUACCUCCGGAGGAAGCCACGGCAACUACGUG
This 481-nucleotide ribosomal RNA is filed under the name uncultured bacterium. Its description in RNAcentral is "bacterial SSU rRNA". It matches the Rfam family "Bacterial small subunit ribosomal RNA", at positions 28 to 507 of the family's 1533-position model. The record is from RNAcentral.